RNAcentral lists this ribosomal RNA (444 nucleotides) under uncultured bacterium. Its description in RNAcentral is "SSU rRNA". It matches the Rfam family "Bacterial small subunit ribosomal RNA", at positions 26 to 518 of the family's 1533-position model. The record is from RNAcentral.
AGAACGAACGCUGGCGGCAGGCCUAACACAUGCAAGUCGAACGCCCCGCAAGGGGAGUGGCAGACGGGUGAGUAACGCGUGGGAACAUACCUUUCGGUUCGGAAUAGCUCAGGGAAACUUGAAUUAAUACCGGAUACGUCCGCAAGGAGAAAGAUUUAUCGCCGAAAGAUUGGCCCGCGUCCGAUUAGCUAGUUGGUGAGGUAAUAGCUUACCAAGGCGACGAUCGGUAGCUGGUCUGAGAGGAUGAUCAGCCACACUGGGACUGAGACACGGCCCAGACUCCUACGGGAGGCAGCAGUGGGGGAUAUUGGACAAUGGGCGCAAGCCUGAUCCAGCCAUGCCGCGUGAGUGAUGAAGGCCCUAGGGUUGUAAAGCUCUUUCGUCAGGGACGAUAAUGACGGUACCUGAAGAAGAAGCCCCGGCUAACUUCGCGCCAGCAGCCGC